AAGGUGAUCUAUUUGAAUAUGAGUUUCUCUUUCCGUUAGCUUUUUAAAGUAUUAUAUUUCGUUUUUGAAAUAUCUUAUUGUUAAAAACAUCAAACAUUCGAUGAAAAUUAUAGUUAAAGAUGAGUUUGGGAGUUGAUGACAGCACUGGAUGAGACACAAUGACAAAAACAGGCAACGAGAGCAAGAUGACGAGGAAAAAUAACUUGACAAGAAUAAGUAACAUGGCUAGGGAAAGAUGUGUGAUAAAAACAAUUGAAGGAGGCAUUGAGUGGGUGCGGAAAAAAAAUAAAAAAUAAAUGUAAUAUGUU
This 308-nucleotide long non-coding RNA is filed under the name Carica papaya (papaya). RNAcentral's name for it is "long non-coding RNA (CPAP_LNC006105)". The record is from RNAcentral. Lineage: Eukaryota; Viridiplantae; Streptophyta; Magnoliopsida; Brassicales; Caricaceae.